Phalacrocorax carbo (great cormorant) is the source of this 303-nucleotide non-coding RNA. The record is from RefSeq and is a predicted model, not a curated record. Lineage: Eukaryota; Metazoa; Chordata; Aves; Suliformes; Phalacrocoracidae.
CAGUCCCGGGGGGCGGGGAGGGGGGUGUCAAAGGGGGGGUACACAGCCGGGAAGGUGAGAGACAGCGAUGCUCUCUCCAAGGACCUGGAGCAAAAACCUUUGUCCCGCAGAUUUAACCAGCAGAUUCCCCAGGCUGAACCCCUCCGCUGGGCUGAAUUUAGCAGCAGAAGAGAUAACCCAGAGAUAAGGACUGAUACCCGGGAGGACAGCGGGAGACCGGCAGGCGGCCGAGGAAAGGGGGAGAAGCCGGAGGCAGCGUUGGAAAGGGCUGCGUAUCCAGAUGUGCUGGGCUUCGGACACUCC